UUAGAUACCCCACUAUGCUUAGCCAUAAAAUAUUAAUUACACUAAAACCGCCAAAAAACUACGAGCGCAAGCUUGAAACUUAAAGGACUUGACGGUGUCCCAUCUACCUAGAGGAGCCUGUUCUAUAAUUGAUGAUCCUCGUUAUACCUCACCUCUCUUAGCUUAUCAGUCUGUAUACUUCCGUCGUAAGCUUACCAUAUGAAUGUAUUAGUAGGCUAAACAGCUUAACCCCCUAAAACGUCAGGUCAAAGUGCAGCCCACAGAGAGGGAAGAAAUGGGCUACCGUUUCUAACUCAAGAACAAACGAACUAACAUUUUAAUAACUGUUAUGAAGGUGGAUUUAGAAGUAAAGUGAAAAUAGAGUGUUCACUUUAACAAUGCUCUGGGACGUGUACACACCGCCCG
This 405-nucleotide ribosomal RNA is filed under the name Hyperolius castaneus (Ahl's reed frog). RNAcentral describes it as "partial small subunit ribosomal RNA". It matches the Rfam family "Bacterial small subunit ribosomal RNA", at positions 778 to 1396 of the family's 1533-position model. Lineage: Eukaryota; Metazoa; Chordata; Amphibia; Anura; Hyperoliidae. The record is from RNAcentral.